AUUGAACGCUGGCGGCAGGCCUAACACAUGCAAGUCGAGCGGAUGAAGGGAGCUUGCUCCUGGAUUCAGCGGCGGACGGGUGAGUAAUGCCUAGGAAUCUGCCUGGUAGUGGGGGAUAACGUCCGGAAACGGGCGCUAAUACCGCAUACGUCCUGAGGGAGAAAGUGGGGGUUCUUCGGCCCUCACCCUACCGGAUAACCCUAGGUCGGAUUAGCUAGUUGGUGGGGUAAAGGCCUACCAAGGCGACGAUCCGUAACUGGUCUGAGAGGAUGAUCAGUCACACUGGAACUGAGACACGGUCCAGACUCCUACGGGAGGCAGCAGUGGGGAAUAUUGGACAAUGGGCGAAAGCCUGAUCCAGCCAUGCCGCGUGUGUGAAGAAGGUCUUCGGAUUGUAAAGCACUUUAAGUUGGGAGGAAGGGCAGUAAGUUAAUACCUUGCUGUUUUGACGUUACCAACAGAAUAAGCACCGGCUAACUUCGUG
This 484-nucleotide ribosomal RNA is filed under the name uncultured bacterium. Its description in RNAcentral is "partial 16S ribosomal RNA". It matches the Rfam family "Bacterial small subunit ribosomal RNA", at positions 30 to 507 of the family's 1533-position model. The record is from RNAcentral.